This 713-nucleotide long non-coding RNA is filed under the name Elaeis guineensis (African oil palm). RNAcentral's name for it is "long non-coding RNA (EGUI_LNC016686)". The record is from RNAcentral. Lineage: Eukaryota; Viridiplantae; Streptophyta; Magnoliopsida; Arecales; Arecaceae.
ACCCUCUUCAGCAGUCUCUUCUCUCGAACUAGGAGGAACGACGCUGCUCAAGUCCAAGUGUGGAUAUAAUUUUUCAACCGCAUCUUGGCAUCCUCAUAUUUGACACAGUAAGAGACAUAUCCGCCCUCGAGAAUCUCAUCCUUAAAUUUUUCUGAAUCCUUGAAGUUUUUGAUAGCCAGACUCAAGGCCCUUUCGCUGACUCAGCUUCAGCCUUAGCGGAGGCUAACUUAGCAUCGGCCAGUGCCAGUCUUUCCAUGGUGGCCCGAUGCCUGUCGUGCUCUCUUCCAGCUUUUCGAUGCAUCCAUCUCUUUCUCUCCAGAGCCAAUUGAUGGAAUGCUUCUUGCUCCUAAUCUGAAACUCGAGAGAUGUGAUAUUCUGUUGAGCCGACUCAAGUUCGACUCUGGAGGAUUGAAGGUCAGCCGUCAAACUGGAGAUCUCUUCUUAGAGCAUCUUCUCUCAUUCAGUUGCCGCCUGAAGCUGUUCGAUGGCACUAGUCUUUUCGACGUUGGCGGCUGCUACCUUGUCCAUCCACAUCUGACGAAGGUCAGUGAUUUUUUGAUAUCCGCUCUUUAAAUUAUGCAUAUCGUGCACCCACUGAAAAGAAAAGAUAAGUCAAAAAAAAAGGAAGAAUGUGGAAUGUCGGAAAAUUACCCCAAGCAUUGUCGGAUAAAAGAAAAAAAAUAUUUCAGACACUGUCUGAAUUCUUCUGUUCU